Molecule: ribosomal RNA, 502 nt
Filed under: uncultured Acholeplasma sp.
Lineage: Bacteria; Bacillati; Mycoplasmatota; Mollicutes; Acholeplasmatales; Acholeplasmataceae
Description: bacterial SSU rRNA
Rfam family: Bacterial small subunit ribosomal RNA
Source: RNAcentral
GCCUUGCCAGCCCGCUACAGAAACUACGAAAGGAAUUGACGGGACCCCGCACAAGCGGUGGAUCAUGUUGUUUAAUUCGAUGAUACGCGAAGAACCUUACCAGGUCUUGACAUCCCCCGCGAUGCUUUAGAGAUAAAGCGGAGGUAUUCGGGGAGACAGGUGGUGCAUGGUUGUCGUCAGCUCGUGUCGUGAGAUGUUGGGUUAAGUCCCGCAACGAGCGCAACCCCUAUUGCUAGUUACCAUCAUUAAGUUGGGGACUCUAGCGAGACUGCCAGUGAUAAACUGGAGGAAGGUGGGGAUGACGUCAAAUCAUCAUGCCCCUUAUGACCUGGGCUACAAACGUGAUACAAUGGCUGGAACAAAGGGAUGCGAAGCAGUGAUGUGGAGCGAAACCCAUAAAAACAGUCUCAGUUCGGAUUGAAGUCUGCAACUCGACUUCAUGAAGUCGGAAUCGCUAGUAAUCGCGGAUCAGAACGCCGCGGUGAAUACGUUCUCGGGGUUU